GUAGGUGGCAAGCGUUGUCCGGAAUUAUUGGGCGUAAAGCGCGCGCAGGCGGUCUUUUAAGUCUGAUGUGAAAGCCCACGGCUCAACCGUGGAGGGUCAUUGGAAACUGGAGGUCUUGAGUGCAGAAGAGGAGAGUGGAAUUCCACGUGUAGCGGUGAAAUGCGUAGAUAUGUGGAGGAACACCAGUGGCGAAGGCGGCUCUCUGGUCUGUAACUGACGCUGAGGCGCGAAAGCGUGGGGGGAGCAAACAGGAUUAGAUACCCUGGUAGUCCACGCCGUAAACGAUGAGUGCUAGGUGUUGGGGGCUUCCCACCCUCAGUGCUGAAGUUAACACAUUAAGCACUCCGCCUGGGGAGUACGACCGCAAGGUUG
Molecule: ribosomal RNA, 372 nt
Filed under: uncultured organism
Description: partial 16S ribosomal RNA
Rfam family: Bacterial small subunit ribosomal RNA
Source: RNAcentral